AAAGUUUUAGUUUAGUUAAAAUAAUUUAUUUACAAUAAAUAGAUUAAUAAAUUUGUUAUUAAAAUUUUA
This 69-nucleotide transfer RNA is filed under the name Parapolybia crocea. RNAcentral's name for it is "tRNA-Val". The record is from RNAcentral. Lineage: Eukaryota; Metazoa; Arthropoda; Insecta; Hymenoptera; Vespidae.